This is a long non-coding RNA of Cololabis saira (Pacific saury), 493 nucleotides long. RefSeq lists it as uncharacterized. The record is from RefSeq and is a predicted model, not a curated record. The transcript has 3 exons. Lineage: Eukaryota; Metazoa; Chordata; Actinopteri; Beloniformes; Belonidae.
AGACAACUACAAGGAGUUGAUGGAAAGAAAAGAAGCCUUCUUCAAGGAUGAAGACAUCUGGCACAUGGCAGUUGCAAGGAGAAAGACCUCACCUUGUACCACAACAUAUGACGGAAGCAAACCAAAGAAAAAAAGAAUUACUGCAACUUCCAGUCUCACUUCAGAUGAAGAUGAAACACAGAUUGACCCAUCACAAGUUCUUCAAACAAAUAUACAGUUAUUGCUGAAUUUCCAGGAACAACUGUGUCUGAUGUGAGAGCAGUGAUUCGGAGAAAAUGUAACAAUGAGAAUUUUGUGACCAAAAAGAAACAGUAAGCAGUAACAUCAGUAACUGAUUGUAAUAGUUUUUGUUUGUUUAUUUUUUGGUGGACAUACAUUUUGAGUUUACACAAACUGUGUCAAUGUUUCAAAAGUCAGUUUAAUGUUCAUUUCUGUCAUUACUAGCUUCUCUGCGGUGCACAGCUAGCACAUCUAUUGUUUCUUCUGAAGAUCA